AUUGAACGCUGGCGGCAGGCCUAACACAUGCAAGUCGAACGAGUGGCGGACGGGUGAGUAAUGUCUGGGAAACUGACCGAUGGAGGGGGAUAACUACUGGAAACGGUAGCUAAUACCGCAUACCAUCGGAUGUGCCCAGAUGGGAUUAGCUAGUUGGUGGGGUAAAGGCCUACCAAGGCGACGAUCCGUAAAUGGUCUGAGAGGAUGAUCAGUCCCACUGGAACUGAGACACGUUCCAGACUCCUACGGGAGGCAGCAGUGGGGAAUAUUGGACUAUUGGCGCAAGCCUGAUCCAGCCAUGCCGCGUGUAUGAAGAAGGUCUUCGGAUUUUAAAGCACUUUAAGUUGGGAGGCGUUACCAACAGAAUAAGCACCGGCUAACUUCGUGCCAGCCGCCGCGGUAAUAC
RNAcentral lists this ribosomal RNA (406 nucleotides) under uncultured bacterium. RNAcentral describes it as "partial 16S ribosomal RNA". It matches the Rfam family "Bacterial small subunit ribosomal RNA", at positions 30 to 526 of the family's 1533-position model. The record is from RNAcentral.